This 403-nucleotide ribosomal RNA is filed under the name Fusobacteriota bacterium. RNAcentral's name for it is "Fusobacteria bacterium partial 16S ribosomal RNA". It matches the Rfam family "Bacterial small subunit ribosomal RNA", at positions 355 to 776 of the family's 1533-position model. The record is from RNAcentral. Lineage: Bacteria; Fusobacteriati; Fusobacteriota.
UGGGGAAUAUUGCACAAUGGAGGGAACUCUGAUGCAGCGACGCCGCGUGAGCGAAGAAGGUUUUCGAAUCGUAAAGCUCUGUCCUAUGGGAAGAUAAUGACGGUACCAUAGGAGGAAGCCCCGGCUAACUACGUGCCAGCAGCCGCGGUAAUACGUAGGGGGCAAGCGUUGUCCGGAAUCACUGGGCGUAAAGGGUUCGCAGGCGGAAAUGCAAGUCAGUUGUGAAAGGCAGAGGCUCAACCUCUGUAAGCAAUUGAAACUGUAUUUCUUGAGAUGUGGAGAGGCAAGUGGAAUUCCUAGUGUAGCGGUGAAAUGCGUAGAUAUUAGGAAGAAUACCGGUGGCGAAGGCGACGUGCUGGACACAAACUGACGCUGAGGAACGAAAGCGUGGGUAGCAAACAGG